UGGGGAAUUUUGGACAAUGGGCGAAAGCCUGAUCCAGCAAUGCCGCGUGUGUGAAGAAGGCCUUCGGGUUGUAAAGCACUUUUGUCCGGAAAGAAAUCCUUGGCUCUAAUACAGCCGGGGGGAUACGGUACCGGAAGAAUAAGCACCGGCUAACUACGUGCCAGCAGCCGCGGUAAUACGUAGGGUGCAAGCGUUAAUCGGAAUUACUGGGCGUAAAGCGUGCGCAGGCGGUUUGCUAAGACCGAUGUGAAAUCCCCGGGCUCAACCUGGGAACUGCAUUGGUGACUGGCAGGCUAGAGUAUGGCAGAGGGGGGUAGAAUUCCACGUGUAGCAGUGAAAUGCGUAGAGAUGUGGAGGAAUACCGAUGGCGAAGGCGAG
This 378-nucleotide ribosomal RNA is filed under the name uncultured bacterium. RNAcentral describes it as "partial 16S ribosomal RNA". It matches the Rfam family "Bacterial small subunit ribosomal RNA", at positions 355 to 725 of the family's 1533-position model. The record is from RNAcentral.